UCCCUGGUGGUCUAGUGGUUAAAACUCUGCACUUCCACUGCAGAGGGGCACAGGUUCAAUCCCUGCUCAGGGGA
Molecule: transfer RNA, 74 nt
Filed under: Ovis aries (sheep)
Lineage: Eukaryota; Metazoa; Chordata; Mammalia; Artiodactyla; Bovidae
Rfam family: tRNA
About the family: Transfer RNA (tRNA) molecules are approximately 80 nucleotides in length. Their secondary structure includes four short double-helical elements and three loops (D, anti-codon, and T loops).
Source: Rfam by way of RNAcentral